CAGUAGCCGCGGUAAUACGGAGGGAGCUAGCGUUGUUCGGAAUUACUGGGCGUAAAGCGCACGUAGGCGGUUAUUCAAGUCAGAGGUGAAAGCCCGGGGCUCAACCCCAGAACUGCCUUUGAAACUAGAUGACUGGAAUCUUGGAGAGGUCAGUGGAAUUCCGAGUGUAGAGGUGAAAUUCGUAGAUAUUCGGAAGAACACCAGUGGCGAAGGCGACUGACUGGACAAGUAUUGACGCUGAGGUGCGAAAGCGUGGGGAGCAAACAGGAUUAGAUACCCCUGUAGUCCCUGUCUCUUAUAC
RNAcentral lists this ribosomal RNA (301 nucleotides) under uncultured bacterium. RNAcentral's name for it is "partial 16S ribosomal RNA". It matches the Rfam family "Bacterial small subunit ribosomal RNA", at positions 509 to 807 of the family's 1533-position model. The record is from RNAcentral.